This 254-nucleotide ribosomal RNA is filed under the name uncultured bacterium. Its description in RNAcentral is "partial 16S ribosomal RNA". It matches the Rfam family "Bacterial small subunit ribosomal RNA", at positions 524 to 776 of the family's 1533-position model. The record is from RNAcentral.
UACGUAGGCAGCGAGCGUUGUUCGGAGUUACUGGGCGUAAAGCGUGCGUAGGCGGUUGUCUAAGUUUGGUGUGAAAUCUCCCGGCUUAACUGGGAGGGUGCGCCGAAAACUGGGUGACUGGAGUGUCGGAGAGGUAAGCGGAAUUCCUGGUGUAGCAGUGAAAUGCGUAGAGAUGCGGAGGAACACCGAUGGCGAAGGCGGGUCUCUGGGCAGUAACUGACGCUGAGGAGCGAAAGCGUGGGGGAGCGAACAGG